This 453-nucleotide long non-coding RNA is filed under the name Anas platyrhynchos platyrhynchos (common mallard). RNAcentral describes it as "lncRNA (ENSAPLG00000019374.1)". Lineage: Eukaryota; Metazoa; Chordata; Aves; Anseriformes; Anatidae. The record is from RNAcentral.
GUCAGAUGCUUUAGUUAAUCAGUGCCAAUCAUUAACACUUGUUUUCAGAUGCUGUCCUACUCGAGUGCUCAGACUUUGCAUUUUGACAACUCAGGUGUGUAGUAGUUAGACUAUAUGUUCUAUUCUGAAAGUGACCUUGAAUCUUCAGUGUAUAGCAAGAAUCAGCCUCAAAUACCUUUAGAAGCUGAUAGUACUAAAGAACCUGAAAAAGGAAGCAUUUUAAAAUCAUUAUUUUGAAGAUGGGGAAGCUAUUAAGACAGUAUUUGCAGCACUUUGUUGUAAUGAUAAAGGUCAUACAUCUGUAUUUCAAGAAGGCUUUAUAUGAUUGGAAGAUGAAUAUAAAUUUUAUCUUUUCAUGAAAAAGAAGUUUGAUGCUGUAAUCUGAAGUAAAAAGAAGUGACUUUCUAAAACGCUGGGUUCAUUAUUUUCUUGGAGUUGAUGUAACAAUCUGAC